AGAGUUUGAUCCUGGCUCAGAACGAACGUUGGCGGCGUGGAUUAGGCAUGCAAGUCGAACGAAACCCACUGCUGUAGCAAUACAGUGGUGGGGGAAGUGGCGAAAGGGGCAGUAAAGCGUGGGUAACCCACCCCGGGGACCGGGACAUUCCUGUAACAAGGGUAAAUACCGGGCGAUAUGACCGAGACGCAUGUGUUGGU
Molecule: ribosomal RNA, 200 nt
Filed under: uncultured bacterium
Lineage: Bacteria
Description: partial 16S ribosomal RNA
Rfam family: Bacterial small subunit ribosomal RNA
Source: RNAcentral